This 465-nucleotide ribosomal RNA is filed under the name uncultured bacterium. RNAcentral describes it as "partial 16S ribosomal RNA". It matches the Rfam family "Bacterial small subunit ribosomal RNA", at positions 338 to 795 of the family's 1533-position model. The record is from RNAcentral.
CCUACGGGGGGCAGCAGUGGGGAAUAUUGCGCAAUGGGCGAAAGCCGGACGCAGCGACGCCGCGUGAGGGAUGAAGGUCUUCGGAUCGUAAACCUCUGUCAGCAGGGAAGAACGGUCACUGUGCUAAUCAGCAGUGAAUUGACGGUACCUGCAAAGGAAGCACCGGCUAACUCCGUUCCAGCAGCCGCGGUAAUACGGAGGGUGCGAGCGUUAAUCGGAAUUACUGGGCGUAAAGCGCUCGUAGGCGGUAUGUCAAGUCAAGGGUGAAAUCCCCGCGCUCAACGUGGGAACUGCCUUUGAAACUGGCAAACUGGAGUGUGUGAGAGGAUAGUGGAAUUCCAGGUUUAGGAGUGACAUCCGUAGAUAUCUGGAGGAACAUCAGUGGCGAAGGCGACUAUCUGGCACAUAACUGACGCUGAGGAGCGAAAGCGUGGGUAGCAAACAGGAUUAGAUACCCGGGUAGUC